AGUAAAAACUAUCAUAUUGAUCUUAAAAUUCUAUUCAGUUUUUGAGCCUUUAAAUUUUUAUUUUCUGGAGUUCCUGAUUAGAUUUUAAAUCAAAUGAUAUUGUUUUUAAUUAUUCGUGCUCAAAUUCAAACCAAAUUUUAUUUUAAUAUUAUAAUACAAUAAAACUAUUUUUUAUUACUCUUGAUUUAAUAACCAAGAAACAAA
This 204-nucleotide unclassified non-coding RNA is filed under the name Gelidiophycus divaricatus. RNAcentral's name for it is "partial ITS1". The record is from RNAcentral. Lineage: Eukaryota; Rhodophyta; Florideophyceae; Gelidiales; Gelidiaceae.